CGUGAAUCGUCAACAUAGAGUAAUCGGGUUUCUGUAACAGUGGUACCACACUUGUAAAACAGAUUGAACAAUCAAACAUUGUACACCAGACAUCAGCCAUAAUAUAGUGUAUCGAGAAAUAGGAACCUCAACAGGCAUUAAAUCAAUACGCUAUUGUGUAGCUCACCUAGUAGUGUAUUGUGGCCAAAACAAGAUUUGCAUAUCAAUGCAGCAGGCAGUUGCUAGAUCAUGUUCCAUCUUCAUUGUCCGAGAGCAAGCAGUCUUCUAUUUGCUCCCUUAGCUGUCUCUGACUUAGACGAUCAUUAUCGCCUGCUUGGGAAACCAUUGACGGUGGCAAGAGAGAAAUGAAGUGCUCCAGAGAUGAGGGAUCAUUGGGGAGAACCUGAAACUGACAGCUUGCACAGCAUGCAGCCCCAAUCCCAUUAGGAUUAGUUUUCCCAUUUUCAAAAUUAAUUGAAGUUCCAAAACUGGAUAUUUUUAGAGGACUGUUGCAAAUAGGACAGAAUGAUUCGGGAGGAAGGGCAUCUUUAGUUUUAAGGUUGUAUUUCUUUUGCCUCCUUCGAGAUGCCACCUGACCAUUAUAGUCAUUGUCCUCUGGCAUUCUGUUGAAAUGAAACGGUGUCAACUUUCCAGCUGUUCUCAUGAUUGUGCUUUCCCGGGAAGGGUUUUCCUCCUGCAACAAUUUUACAAAUGAGGAUAUCAGGCCAUUGAUACCAGCACGCGUUCCAUUAAAAACUUCUACAGUCUUCAAACUGUCGAGGCUGCAAAGCAUGUUCAACUCAUGAAUAGGACAAUCACGGAGGGGAAGAACCACAGGUAUCUUCCACCUUGCAUCAACAUACUGGAUGUCAGCUGCUAAAGAAUAACCUCUACCCUUGACAGUUGCUUCAAGUACAUGACAAGCUAUUCUUGAUGUACACGUUCCAAGUAGAAUUUUGGUAUAUCCAUUCUCUAUAGCUAUCUUUUGCAAGGAGAGCAUGCGAAAAUGCUCCAACAAAUCCUCUUUUCCUG
RNAcentral lists this unclassified non-coding RNA (1011 nucleotides) under Hevea brasiliensis (rubber tree). The record is from RNAcentral. Lineage: Eukaryota; Viridiplantae; Streptophyta; Magnoliopsida; Malpighiales; Euphorbiaceae.